GCAGUGAUUGUUCAGUGGUAGAAUUAAUGCCUUUCAUGCAAAAGACCUGGGUUUGAUUCCCCACCAAUGCA
Molecule: transfer RNA, 71 nt
Filed under: Loxodonta africana (African savanna elephant)
Lineage: Eukaryota; Metazoa; Chordata; Mammalia; Proboscidea; Elephantidae
Rfam family: tRNA
About the family: Transfer RNA (tRNA) molecules are approximately 80 nucleotides in length.
Source: Rfam by way of RNAcentral